UAUUGCACAUUUAUUUUGACAAUGAAUUUUAACUGCGUUAGGUUUGGUUUUACUUUUUUUUUUUUUUUACUGUAUGAUUCAUAUGUUAAAAAGUUAUGUUUGGUUUUACUUGCAAUUUAUUUAUGUUCUCGUGGAAGAGGGAGGGUGCACCAGUAAGCCCAUAGGCAAUGAUGAAUGGGCUAAGUUCUUUUUUAUAUAGCACAAUAUUUUUUA
This 213-nucleotide long non-coding RNA is filed under the name Salvia miltiorrhiza (redroot sage). RNAcentral's name for it is "long non-coding RNA (SMIL_LNC002189)". Lineage: Eukaryota; Viridiplantae; Streptophyta; Magnoliopsida; Lamiales; Lamiaceae. The record is from RNAcentral.